RNAcentral lists this small nucleolar RNA (200 nucleotides) under Ailuropoda melanoleuca (giant panda). RNAcentral's name for it is "Small nucleolar RNA ZL1 (ENSAMEG00000030704.1)". It matches the Rfam family "Small nucleolar RNA ZL1". Rfam says of the family: Host gene TRRAP. Predicted target U2@U47. Lineage: Eukaryota; Metazoa; Chordata; Mammalia; Carnivora; Ursidae. The record is from Rfam by way of RNAcentral.
GGAGAAGCGAAGUGAUGAGCAUUACUAGCUGGAGCCCCAAAGAGGCACGUGUGUGUGUGUGUGUGUGUGUGUAUCUGUAUCCUUGUCUGUGCAUGCACACGUGUGUCUGGGAGUGUGAAUGUGUGUGACUGGUUGUAGGGAACUAGUUAUGUGCCUUGUGUUGGACCAUGACAGUCAAACUGAUAAGAUCUGAUUGCUUC